RNAcentral lists this ribosomal RNA (247 nucleotides) under uncultured bacterium. RNAcentral's name for it is "partial 16S ribosomal RNA". It matches the Rfam family "Bacterial small subunit ribosomal RNA", at positions 523 to 769 of the family's 1533-position model. The record is from RNAcentral.
AAACGUAGGAGGCGAGCGUUAUCCGGAUUUACUGGGCGUAAAGCGCGUGCAGGCGGCUCGAAAAGUUGGAUGUGAAAGCUCCUGGCUUAACUGGGAGAGGUCGUUCAAUACUUUCGGGCUUGAGGAUGGGAGAGGGAGGUGGAAUUCCGGGUGUAGUGGUGAAAUGCGUAGAUAUCCGGAGGAACACCAGUGGCGAAGGCGGCCUCCUGGCCCAUUUCUGACGCUCAGACGCGAAAGCUAGGGUAGC